GUUCGCGCCGCGCGGGUCUUGGCUCAUCGUUCUCUGCCCGUCUUCUCUCACCUCUCAUCUCUCUCCGGACCUCCGGCGAAUUGCGGCAGCACUCCACGACCCAGAAUCAGCCGGAGACCGCCGUCUUAUGAAGUUUCUGAAGCAGAAUAUCAGGUAUUUGAAGUGUUCAUUACUAUGUUAGUGCCAAUAUGCUUCCUGAUAUGCCCCAUGUUUUAUGCCGUUUUUUUUUUUUUCUGGGUGAAUCAAUAGUCAUGAUAAAUUGAUUGGAAAAUGGAGACACGAAAAUGGAGUUCCUCAAUUCUAUCAGAUACAGUAUUUAUUGGAAAAUAGGAAUUCUACAAUUUCGAUUAGGAAGAAGCUUGGCUUUCAAUGUUAAUGGAGCAGAGUAUAUAAUGUUAUUAGUAUGUUGUACCUUUAGCUAAUGGGAAAGACAUCUCAUCAGCCUUAUUAUCUAAAUCAAACAUCCUAUUUCCAGUCAUUGAGAAAGUGAGAUUCUAAACCAAACAUCCUAUUUCCCAGUAUAAUUAGCUUUACAUGGAGAAGAGAAGAUAAAAGAGUUCAAGAACAGAAAAUGAGAUAUAAUCGAGAUACUAAGUAUCGUCGAUUAAAACUACGAUCAACAAACUAGUACAGUUUAUCAAUUUCUAAUCUCUUGGAGAUAGCAGCACCUGGUUAACCAUAUUGUCCAAAUCCAAGAAAGAUGAGCCAUGAGGGCCAGUAGUGGCCUUCUCUGCCAACUUCUUCCACUCCAUGGAUUUCUUCCUCAUCUCUUUUCCUUCCUCUCCCUCCAUUAACUUCCUAACAACGCUUUCUAUGUAGUUUCUCUUAACAUCACCCUCCAUCUCUAUGCCUAUACCCCAUUCUUUGCAACAGUACCUACAGUUGGUUUGUUGCUCGCCGUUGAAGGGCCAACAGAUCAUCGGCACUCCCCCACACACACUUUCAAUGGUUGAGUUCCAGCCACUAUGAGUCAAGAACCCUCCUAUAGCUGGAUGGCUUAGGACUUGUUCUUGACAGCACCAACUUGCUAGUAGCCCUCUUUCUUUAGUCUGUUCUAUAAACUCUGGGGGCAGGACAGGUGAUUCUCCCCCAACCAGGUCAGGUCUAAUGACCCAAAAAAAGGUCUUGCUGCUGUCUGCAAGUCCCCAAGCAAAUUCAAUUAGCUGCUCAUCUGUCAUGACUGUACUACUUCCAAAGUUGACAUAUAUCACAGAACUAGGUUCUUUAGAGUCAAGCCAUUCAAAACAGUCUGGUUCUUCUCUCCAUAGAUUUGCUCCAAUCAACUUGAAGUUGCUAUCUUCAGCUGGUAUCUGGUUAAGUUGUAGGUAUAGGGGUCCAAUGGAGUAUAUAGGUGGUAGCAAAUGCGAAAUUGCCUCUAGAACUUCAUGCUCUAAGGCAUCAAAUGUGUUCAAAAUGAUAGCAGAAGCUCUUUGAACUUGUUCUGUAUCGUGCAAAAUUAAGUGCAGAAUGGGGUCAUUUGGGUCAGUGGUUCUCAUGAAGGUUGGGAUAUCCUUCAAUUGGAUUCCUUUCAUUCCUGGAAUCCAAUCUAUCACUGUAUCCAAAUACCCGUUUGUCAAAUAACUGUCAUCUGCAAGUCAACCAAGAACAUAGUACUACUGAAGUGAGUCAAGUUUUGUAAUGCAAAAGAUCUAGAACAAAUUAUAGACUUAUAGCAUGCAGGUUAGUUAGAUAAUCAAUGCCUCUCCAUAUGUCCAAUGAUCAGAGAUUUAAAGCCAUUUCCAAAUCUAUAUGAAAUCUAUAACAAGUCAUUAGUUCCAUAAUAUCUGCUUCUUCUUUUUUUCAUAAAACCAAAUGAGACUUCACGAAGUAGUGAUAUCCUGCCUUUUCAUAAUUAGUAAUCAGUACCUUUAAGAGGAACCAAACCCUUCUCGAUGAGAUUGUAAUAUUGAAGGUAUCCCAUGAAACCACAAGCACUUGUUGUCCAGAAAAUAACUUCAGGAAGGCCAAGUUCUUGGGCUGCAUCAAGAGUGAAGUUCAUGAUGCCAUCAGCAACUAUGCAGGUCACUGGAGGCGAAUUUGGGGAAGAAUUGAGCUUCAAAAGAAGGUCUCUGAAGGGUGCUAGGCAGUUUUUCCUUGUGGACUCGCAUAGCGAUGGCAUGUGUUGUGUGGCAACGUUUGCAUCAGUUGGAGGAAGACCAUCUGGAAUUGU
This 2170-nucleotide long non-coding RNA is filed under the name Fragaria vesca (wild strawberry). RNAcentral's name for it is "long non-coding RNA (FVES_LNC002330)". The record is from RNAcentral. Lineage: Eukaryota; Viridiplantae; Streptophyta; Magnoliopsida; Rosales; Rosaceae.